RNAcentral lists this ribosomal RNA (432 nucleotides) under uncultured bacterium. Its description in RNAcentral is "partial 16S ribosomal RNA". It matches the Rfam family "Bacterial small subunit ribosomal RNA", at positions 29 to 506 of the family's 1533-position model. The record is from RNAcentral.
AACGAACGCUGGCGGCAUGCCUAACACAUGCAAGUCGAACGAGACCUUCGGGUCUAGUGGCGCACGGGUGCGUAACGCGUGGGAACCUGCCCUUAGGUUCGGAAUAACUCCCCGAAAGGGGUGCUAAUACCGGAUAAUGUCUUCGGACCAAAGAUUUAUCGCCUUUGGAUGGGCCCGCGUUGGAUUAGCUAGUUGGUAGGGUAAAAGCCUACCAAGGCGACGAUCCAUAGCUGGUCUGAGAGGAUGAUCAGCCACACUGGGACUGAGACACGGCCCAGACUCCUACGGGGGGCAGGAGUGGGGAAUUUUGGACAAUGGGCGAAAGCCUGACCCCGCAAUGCCGGGGGAGUGAUGAAGGCCUUAGGGUUGAAAAGCUCUUUUACCCGGGAUGAUAAUGACAGGACCGGGAGAAUAAGCCCCGGCUAACUCCGU